This 386-nucleotide ribosomal RNA is filed under the name uncultured bacterium. Its description in RNAcentral is "bacterial SSU rRNA". It matches the Rfam family "Bacterial small subunit ribosomal RNA", at positions 29 to 416 of the family's 1533-position model. The record is from RNAcentral.
AUUAAACGCUGGCGGCAUGCCUUACACAUGCAAGUCGAACGGCAGCACGGGGGCAACCCUGGUGGCGAGUGGCGGACGGGUGAGUAAAGCAUCGGAACGUAUCCUGGAGUGGGGGAUAACGUAGCGAAAGUUACGCUAAUACCGCAUAUUCUGUGAGCAGGAAAGCAGGGGAUCGCAAGACCUUGCGCUCUGGGAGCGGCCGAUGUCGGAUUAGCUAGUUGGUGGGGUAAAGGCCUACCAAGGCGACGAUCCGUAGCGGGUCUGAGAGGAUGAUCCGCCACACUGGGACUGAGACACGGCCCAGACUCCUACGGGAGGCAGCAGUGGGGAAUUUUGGACAAUGGGCGCAAGCCUGAUCCAGCAAUGCCGCGUGCAGGAAGAAGGCC